This 253-nucleotide ribosomal RNA is filed under the name uncultured bacterium. RNAcentral's name for it is "partial 16S ribosomal RNA". It matches the Rfam family "Bacterial small subunit ribosomal RNA", at positions 524 to 776 of the family's 1533-position model. The record is from RNAcentral.
UACGUAGGUGGCAAGCGUUACUCGGAAUCACUAGGCGUAAAGCGCAGGUAGGAGGUUUGGUAAGUCUAUUGUGAAAGCUCCCGGCUUAACUGGGAGAGGUCAAUGGAAACUACCAGGCUGGAGUGCGGUAGAGGUAGCUGGAAUUCCCGGUAUAGCGGUGAAAUGCGUAGAUAUCGGGAGGAAUACCUAUGGCGAAAGCAGGCUACUGGACCGUCACUGACUCUGAUCUGCGAAAGCUAGGGGAGCAAACAGG